AAGCACAAACGUGCCCUCAAUAAUUUGGAUUUAAGUAGCGGAGAGGAUGACCGUGCGUCAGACGAAGACUUCAAAGGCUCAAGCUCUGAAGAGGAGGAGGAAGAAGAAUCUGAAAGUGGCAGUGAUUGGGGCAAAGGGCAGGAACCAGUCAGGAGAUCUACGCGGAACCGAGUGUCCCGCUUUGAUAAAGAUUUCAUAAAUGAUAACAGUAGUGAUGAUGAAAAGCCAAAGAAAAAGAAAAGACCCUGGAGUGAGACUGAAUCCAGUGAUGGAAGUGAGUAUGGACGAAAGAAAAGAAAAUCGGGAUCUUCAAGACGGAGAAAGAGGCCACGUCGCUUUGAUGAUUCAGAAGAAGAACAACCAAGAAGAAAAAAGAGUAAAAAGACUCGAAGAGUAAGUCUUUUUCCCACCUUUUUCAUGGUUUCUUUUUACUGUGCUUGUUGGUGCAUCGGUUUCUUUUUCUCUUUUUUUCCCACCGAAGAGGCUCCUCAUGUCUGAGCUUUUCUUGUAAUUAGAUUAAUCAAUAGGCAUACCCCCUGACUAUCUUCCCUUAUUUUGGCAAAGCAGCUAGAGAUGAUUUGGAGUCAAUGCUCUGAGAUUAAAAUGAGUUUUAGGUUAGACAAAAAUUUGAUAAUGAUUAAAAAUAAAUUAACAGUGAUUAAAAUUCAAAUUGGGAAAAAGAGAAUUUUUACAAAACAAGACGUGAACUUUUCUCAUAUCCAUUGUUAUGUAGCUUUCAUAUCUGAUUAGUUGGUAAAGAAUGAAAAUCUCUUAAAGAAUUUUUCAUAACAUUUUCAAAGCUGCUAGUUUCAUUCUAUUUUCGUUUUUAAAUGGUUGACUUGUUUUUUCACCGCUUUCCUCCCCGGGAAACAAAUCAUUCUUUUUUCAGUGUUGUGGCUCAAAAUAAAGAAAGAUACAUAUCUCUAAAAGGGAUGUGAUUGGAACCUAACCUAACUUAAGUGUGCACCUGACACAUGAGAAAUUCAGAGUCUCAGCUAACCUCUCAUAAUUAGCACUAAAAUAUGUCGCUGUAAAUUUUUCA
This 1042-nucleotide long non-coding RNA is filed under the name Bemisia tabaci. Its description in RNAcentral is "lncRNA ENSSSA1NGG000075". Lineage: Eukaryota; Metazoa; Arthropoda; Insecta; Hemiptera; Aleyrodidae. The record is from RNAcentral.